Molecule: ribosomal RNA, 459 nt
Filed under: uncultured bacterium
Lineage: Bacteria
Description: partial 16S ribosomal RNA
Rfam family: Bacterial small subunit ribosomal RNA
Source: RNAcentral
CCUACGGGGGGCAGCAGUGAGGAAUAUUGGUCAAUGGGCGUAAGCCUGAACCAGCCAAGUCGCGUGAGGGAUGAAGGUUCUAUGGAUCGUAAACCUCUUUUAUAAGGGAAUAAAGUGCGGGACGUGUCCCGUUUUGUAUGUACCUUAUGAAUAAGGAUCGGCUAACUCCGUGCCAGCAGCCGCGGUAAUCCGGAGGAUCCGAGCGUUAUCCGGAUUUAUUGGGGUAAAGGGGUGCGUAGGCGGGUUAUAAAGUCAGCGGGAAAAGCGUGGAGCUAAAUUCGAUCCAGCCGGUGAAACGGAUGAUCUAGAGGGGGCGAGAAGUAUGCGGAAUGCGUGGUGUAGCGGUGAAAUGCAUAGAGAUCACGAAGAACUCCGAUUGCGAAGGCAGCAUACCGGCGUACGACUGACGCUGAAGCACGAAAGCGUGGGGAUCGAACAGGAUUAGAUACCCGUGUAGUC